This 548-nucleotide ribosomal RNA is filed under the name uncultured Glomus. RNAcentral's name for it is "SSU rRNA". It matches the Rfam family "Eukaryotic small subunit ribosomal RNA", at positions 548 to 1098 of the family's 1831-position model. Lineage: Eukaryota; Fungi; Glomeromycota; Glomeromycetes; Glomerales; Glomeraceae. The record is from RNAcentral.
UUGGAGGGCAAGUCUGGUGCCAGCAGCCGCGGUAAUUCCAGCUCCAAUAGCGUAUAUUAAAGUUGCUGCAGUUAAAAAGCUCGUAGUUGAAUUUCGGGACCAAUAUGUCGGUCGUGCCUCGGUACGUACUGGCAUCGUUGGUUUCUCCCUUCUGACGAACCAUGAUGUCAUUUAUUUGGUGUCGUGGGGAAUCAGGACUGUUACUUUGAAAAAAUUAGAGUGUUUAAAGCAGGCUCACGCUUGAAUACAUUAGCAUGGAAUAAUGAAAUAGGACGUUUGAUUCUAUUUUGUUGGUUUCUAGGAUCGACGUAAUGAUUAAUAGGGAUAGUUGGGGGCAUUAGUAUUCAAUUGUCAGAGGUGAAAUUCUUGGAUUUAUUGAAGACUAACUACUGCGAAAGCAUUUGCCAAGGAUGUUUUCAUUAAUCAAGAACGAAAGUUAGGGGAUCGAAGACGAUCAGAUACCGUCGUAGUCUUAACCAUAAACUAUGCCGACUAGGGAUCGGAUGAUGUUAAUUUUUUAAUGACUCAUUCGGCACCUUACGGGAAAC